RNAcentral lists this long non-coding RNA (10842 nucleotides) under Podarcis lilfordi (Lilford's wall lizard). Lineage: Eukaryota; Metazoa; Chordata; Lepidosauria; Squamata; Lacertidae. The record is from RNAcentral.
GGACUGGAAGAGACCUUUGUCUGAAACCCUCGAGAGCUGCUACCAGUCACUGUUGACAGUUCUGAGCUAGAGAGACCAAGAGCCUUGCACCAAGGACCAAGGCAACUUCGUAUGUCACAGGGUUCUUGAAUCCAGGUGUCAGAACUGGGAUCCUUGAUACACCAUAGUGAAGUCAACCACGGUAUCAAUUCAGUUCCCUUUAGGAAUUGGGUUUUGCAAGGACUGGACAGACCUAGGAUUUGAUUUGUAAGGAAAAUAUCCUUUCAUAUGACUAAUUUUGUAAGAAAAGAAUGUCUAGCCUAGAGGUAUGGAUUCUUUUAAUAUUUAAAAUUAGAUUCUUUAUUAAUAAUGUGCCAGAAUAAUUGAGCCUAGGGAGAUGGCAGAGGAAGGGAAAAAAUAUUAACAGGGGCAGAACAAGGAAAGUUUAUGGUAUGAUUUUUAUCAAGCUUCAUUGGAAUGGAAUCAAAAUGCAGAGGGCAGACUUAAAAAAAAAAAACCAGCCAUAGAGUAUUAGGUCCAAGGAGAAUAGAUGGCUGUGUUUUCCAUGACUGUGUUGUGGUUUCACAUACAUGAAAUGUAUAAAUAUAGGUGCAGUUAUUUGAUAUCAAAAAAAUGAAUAUAUCAGAUAUGUAUGUGUAUGCGUACCGCCUCCAUUCUUGCAUGUUAAGAAAACAAUUGGAGGUGCUCUUGGUAGUUCUGUCACCAUCAAAAGUGUGGGGAAUGGCAGCCCAGCAGAGAGCUAUUUCCUGUGGAAGUGUCGUAAGCUCAGUGUUGGAGCCUCUGCCUUCCAUGCAAAAGGUUCUUGUUUCAAUUAGCAUUUGAAAAUCGCCAUGCACAUUUUGCACCCGGCUAUCAGCCACUUGCAACCAAGUGAAGAUUCCCUGGCACCAGGGUGGCGCCUGACGUCUUCACCAUCUGGAGGUGCAUGCCUGGGGACCCUUGGUUCUUUGCUUUUACACGCUAGCAACACAUCCUGUAGAAUUCUAUUCAUGAUAUAUUAUUUGCACAAUCAGUACGAAUUUCUGGAACAAAAAAGCCAUAUUGAAAAAUAGAACGUUUGAGCCGUCUGGCCCCAAAAUGGCAACUAGGCAUUCUGUUUUGGCGACUGUGACCCUGGUUUAAGUAGCCAUUUGGCGCCUAGUUUAUAUACCUGAGUUCCUAACACUGGUUUCAAUCCCGAGCACCACCAUUUAGGGCUGGGAAUGUCCCCUGCCUGAAAUGCUGGAGAGGUGCUGCCAGUCAGUGCAUACAAUACUGAGCUGGAUGGGCAGUGCUCUAACUGUAUGAGGCAGCUUUGACUGUUUCUGUGCCAGCUUUUAAACCGUGGAACUCUCUUCUUACAGAGGUGCCUCUUCAUUGUAUAGUUCUUUCCAUAAGAAGACAAACCUCUUUCCACUGGCCUUUGAUAGCUACGGCAUUUUGUUCUGUGGGACACACCUCUUUGGUUGAACCUGUACUAUUCUGUUUUUGCUGUAAUGGUUAUGCCUUGCUUGUUUUUAUAGUUUGAAUUGUUUUUAUAGUUAUAAAUUGAUCCCACUGUUGCAUGUCAAGGAUAAGUUUCUAAGACUGAAAAUUAAAAGUAUAAUUGCUGUCCCUGUAUAAGAAUGCAUUAAUUUCUCCUAAAUAAUUUCCCCCCUUCUGCUCUGAGAUGGUUUAUCUGCAUUGGCUGUUCCAUAUUUUGUGGAAAGGAAAGAAGUAAUAUUUAAAAAGAAGGUGAAACUUCUAAAAGGUUUUCCAACUUUGUUAUUGAUGAUGUCUCUUUAAAAAAAAAGGACCAGAAAGUUGUUAAAUGCAGCCUGGGUCUGAUACAAGCUACAGAGUUGACUCAUUCUCUUACCAGUAAUACUUUGAAGUUCUGCUUGUAGAUAAUGUUCACUGUGGGGGCAGUUAAUAGCAGCAGUUGUACAACAUUUCAGGCAUAUAAUUCUGCUUUGUAAACUGAUGAGGCUGGAAGACCAGUUGUGUGCAGGAGGGAAGAGAGCUUGAAUUCCUGAGACUUCAGCUCGUGUACUUAGCUCCAGUGCCUCACCAAAUCUCAUAUGUGGUCAUAUUUCACCAGUGUGGGGUGCAGUGGUUAGUGUUGGACUUGGACCUGGGAGACCAGUAGUCAAAUCUCAAUUCAGCCAUGAAUCUCACUGCAAGACCUCAGGCCAGUCACAGUCUCUCAGCCUAACCUACCUCACAGAGUGGGAUGUGAAGGUAAGGAAUAAAUGGGAACCUUUGUCCUAUGGGUCUCAUCAGGCCUAGCAUGGGGCCCAGUUUGGCCCGUGAGGCCAUUCCUCACAAAACAAAAGCCCACCUGCCCCAUAUAAAAUAUCAUGUGUGGGGCAGGUAUGGAUGCGGCAAUUGGGAGCUUGCACACUGUCAAUUCCACUCAACUGAUCAUCACUGAUGGGAGAGACCCCUAAGGUAUUAGCUGCCCUAGGUAGCCCCCAUUGAAAAAUCCUGAGUGCAGCCAAGGCAGCUCUGUUUCGAAUCAUUUGCAAUUGAGGCUGCUUGCUAAGACAGCUUCCCAACCCCCUGCAGUGGGGGGACCCCUCAAAUUUUAUGAGUUUCUAAGCAGAUUGCUUCAUCAAGCCCUGUUAAAGGUGUGUUCCCAUUUCCAGUCAGUUGAUUGGCUCUGGGUGCAUGUAUUUGAAGGUCUCUUUAACACCCCAUCAGCUGAUCCCCCUUGAACUUUGACAUACAUGAGACCUGGUGAUUGCUAGGUGGGCAGUCCUGCUCACCUGGCUAAGUUGGCCCAUUGAAGGUGGGGAGACUGAGGGAUGCAGCCUGAUCCUGUUCUCUGCUCCAGCCAUAUGUCGAAUCCAGUGUCUGAUUCUCCUCUGCUUCCUCAAAUCCUAAAUUUAAAGAGACACAUCCCAUGUUUUCAGGAUUGUUUUUCUGUUCGAGCUUCAAACUCCCAAAUCUUCUCCCGCUUGUUACAGACAAAGAAAAAGAGGAAUGCUUUCUUCUGCUGUAUAUCCAGUUCAGCAUCCCAUUUGCAUUAAUGCACAUUCUGUUCCUGCAUAUAAAUAAUAUCACUGCUUGAGAAUGACUUUUGAAGUACAUGGGCGAAACCAAAUAUUACCCUUGGCUUUUUUUUAUUAUCUCACACUGUAGUAUGUGCAAGAAUUAUACGGCGAAUCCCGGAGGCUAAUGGGGAACCAGUUAGACAGGGACUGAGUGCUCCAGUUAAGCAAGCCAAUUUUGAAUGCUGCUGAUGAAAUCUCAUAAAUCCGCAACAUGGAUGCAAACUCUAGUAACCCUGGUAUACUUAAGCAUGGAGAAGUUGUUUUGCUCUCGGACUUUUGGGAUAUCUAGUACCUUUUGGAGGGGGGGACAAUGCGCUGCAGACAGGCAGGAGUGGUGCCCACCUUGAGGUUUCUCACAGCGCAUCUCUAGGAUUACCAGUGGUUUGGAGAGUGUUUCCUCACUGCUCUAUUUCUUCACAGAUUUGUAGAGUUGGAAGGGACCCCCAGGGUCCUCUAGUCCAACCCUUUGCAAUGCAGGGAUCUCAACUAGAGCAUAUAACUUGUAGAUUACUUGCCUUGCAGUUGUUUUGUAGCAGUGACAUGCAAGAGAACAGUCAUCCUAUAGAAAAGUGUGUGAAUCAUUCAGCCCAGAUGGCCCUUGUUCAACACUGUGCAUGGAGUAACUUGGAUGUAUUAAGUCAGUCUGUUUUUUUUGGAGGGGGGGGUUGUUGCUUACAACUUCGGCCAUCCUGAAUUGAUCGGUUUAUGUCCUGACUGGCUACUCUUGUGUUGUCUUGUGCAGUUAUUGUAGAUGAAGCUUGCCUAUUCUAUACUUUGUAGCAGAAACUGGGAUUUAGAGAGCUUUGCUUGAGGCCAAACAGGUACCUGAUGCUGUUCUUAAGUAUCUGUGUUUCCCAGGGCCCUGUCAAACUGCUCUGAAAGUCUUCCUUGACUUGGGAAGGGGUCUGCCUUUUUGUCUAUAGCCAUCCUCUUAAAGGUUUGUGGUCACAUUUGUGUAUUUGGGCGGGUGCUGAAGACACCACCCACUCUCGUCACUUCUUUCCCCUGGAUUAGCGGCUCCCUACGCUGAGUGAGGAAUCUGGGUAAAUCCAGUAGAACUAAUCUAAAUUUUGGGCAUCUGGUAGAGCUGAAAGAGGAAGUGGGAAAGUGUUCCUCUUCUAACUUGCUCCUUCAACUUUACAUUCUUUUCAGGGGAGAAGAAGGUAACCACCCUCAUGACCAAGCAGUCAGUGAGUGGUGGUGAGGCAGGGGUGGUGAUCUCAGUGGCUUCGCAGGCAUCAGCAGAAGACCUCCAGGGUGCUAUUGUUUUCACAGUUGCCAUGUUGGUGAGCCGAAGUUUACAGGGUAGAUUGCUGUGGAAUAAAUGGCUUCAAAACUCAUUCCCUGAGCCUGUUGUGCUGUUGCUGUCCUGGAUGUGAGAGGUGAUUAAAAAAAUAUGGGGCAGAUUAUUGACUCUCCUGAACUUUGGACUGCAGGUGGGAGAUUAAUUGAUUGUGAAUGCUGUACCAUGUUUUGCAGAAUUAUUUGUUCCAAAUGGAAUGUGGAUGGGUUCAGACUUGUCCUUUCUCUGACGUUCUAGCUUUUCAUGGGCAGGGAGUCCAUGCAACUCCACACCCUACAGUCUGCUUUGUUUUGCUUUUUCUGCAUUCUUUAAUUUGACUCCAGAGUAGCUAUUUAUAUAGGACAACUCCAUACUAUUAGAUUGAGCCCUGGCUGUGUAUUUUUUUUCUAUUUCUUUUCUAUUCCAUAGUUAGUCUUUUUCUUGAAAGAGGGGCAGUAUUCAAAACUAGUCCUACACAGAGCAGACCAACUGACGUUAAUGGGCCUGACUAACUUAGGUUUAUUAAUCUGAAUAGCUCUAUUCAAAUUGAAUAGUUGAAUACAACAAACAAAUUCUAGAACUUGGGGCCCCAGAUGAGGCGGGGGAUGAAAGGCUGCUCCUUGGAUUAUUACCCAGACUAGAGCCUCAAUCAGUUCUUUCCUUUGCUCCAUUUUAAAAAUGAAAAGGUAUAUUUUGGGAAAUGGAACUUGCUACUGUUGGUUUUUAAUGUGAAGAUGGAGAAAUCUAAUUGGGAAAAGUCUCGAUCUCCAUUGUCUUACUCUUUUAUCAGCCCACCUGCACAAAACUGCUCUUGCAUUUAGGCUUGCUGAAGUAAAAACUUCAUUUUUUCAAGGUUACACUUGGACUUUAAUGCCCAGAUUUCAUGAACUAUCUAAUCUGCUUUUGCAGCAUUGGAAGUAUUACCAUGUGGUUUUCAUAUCAUACAGUAAGUUCAAACUUAAGCACCACACUCUGUCCAUUUCUUUGUAACAUCAACAGGAAAAUGCUGAUUUCUACUUGCCCACCAUUCCUUCAUGUAGUGACUUUCUAAUUCUGUAUUGAGCAAAGCAGAGGAAUGUUUGAUUUGCAUUUAUUGUAAUCUUAAUGUUAUUUGAGGUGGAGAAGCAGCAGCAAAGCCAGGCAGGAGAGAGCAUAUACAGUGAUGGGCAUACAGGAGUCUUGGUCCAUUUAGAUUAUAUCCUGAAUACAUUAAUCCAUAUCCUGUUAUUUCACAUUGCUCAGUCACUACUGCCGGCUCACUAAUGUGAACUAAUUGCAUUUGCUCUAGUAAAGCAGUUACACCCCCCCCCCCCCGAAUAUUUCUGCAAUAGAUAUUAGCAUUAUCAGUUUGGUUGCAUGAAUGGAAUUGCAGUGCAUGAUGUCAAAAGAAAAAUAUGAUAGCACAACCUUCCAGUUUUAAAACAAAUAAAUAAUAAUAAUUGACAUUGUGUAUUCUGUGCUUUAGCGGUCCUUGGCACGCACACAUUGUAGAAUCGUGGUGCUUUAGAAUCACAGAACCAUAGAAGAGUUGGAAGGGACCACGAGGUUCAUCUAGUUUGUAAAGGGUUUGAUGAAUUCAUCCAAAAAAUUUGGGAGGGUGAGAAGAGCAAACAACUUGCUGAGGCCACUUCUUGGGUCUUUAAAUUUACAUUUGGGUUUCCCCUUUUGUUGUUUGUUCUAAAUGGAUGGACUGAAAAAGUAACGUCCUUUUGAGAAUCUUUCCUUUGGGGAGACUGUGUGUGUUUAAUUCCCACAAUGGGGCUUGGUGCUGGCAACAAGCCACUGCGGCUGAAAGAAAAAACCUUUCCCCUUGAAAAUCAAGUGCCUAGAUGCUGUCCAGUCUCUGAACCUGAGAGAAGCAAAGGAUAGGUCAAGGUAUGGAGCUCAUAUCCUCCCAGAUGAUGAUGGACUAGAAUUCGCAUAAUCCCAGACCACUGGCUGUGCUGCCUGAGUGAUGUCUGUCUUAACAUCGCAUCUCCAGCUCAACAUUGUGAUACCCCAAUACUUCAUGAUGUCAGAAAUAAGGAUGUUACUAUGUCAAGGUGAACGAGGUAAUGUCCUGGAAACUGCUGCUACUUAGGUGUCUGAAACUGGUACAUUUUUACUUACCUUUAACAUAUUGUGACUUUUUUUUAUAGUACAGAGCAAUAGGGGCAACAGGAAUCAUGAGAGAAGUGAUGACCGGCCUCACAGUUUUCCCCAUGUUAUGAUUUUUCCUCUGUGCCAUUCAUGUACUAUAGACAUCGCUGAGCUAGAUGGAUGAAUGUCUGACUCGGUAGAAGGCAGCUUCCUAUCUUCAUAUAGAUGCAUUUAUUCACUACAUUUUUCUCUUGCUACUACAGAGUGUGUCCUAUUGAUGAGGUCACCCAGUGUUGGUGCCUUGCAGUGCUUCACUGGAAUCUUUGUCUCUCUUGGUGUCAGCAUCUUACUUACAUCAGCUGUGUAGCAUUUGUAAGUUUCUGGAUUGAUGAUAAUAAUAAUAAUUUAUUAUUUAGACCCCACCCAUCUGGUUUUUUUCCCCCAGCCAGUCUGGGCGGCUUCCAACAAAAGAUUAAAAAUACAAUAAAAUAUCAAACAUUAAAAACUUCCCUAAACAGGGCUGCCUUCAGAUGCCUUUUAAAAGUCAGAUAGUUGUUUGCUGAGCAUCUGUUAUGCAAGUUCUUUCAACCUGACUGAAAACACAUAGCAAUUUCUGGAAGAAGACGACUCCCUAUUUCUGGUGGGGUGUUUUAGAGAAGUCUUAGUGUCCCAGGAAUCUUCAACUUCGGUUGGCGAUUGACAUUUUUUUCUUUGUGAACCUUCAGUACAGAAGUGGUAAUUUCUGCGGUUUGUGUUACACUUUUCACAGUCAAGUCAGUUUAUUGUGUUUUAUUAGCAGACAGCCAUUAUAUACAUGAAAACAACAACAACAAUAAAGAUUUACAUUUCUGCUCCUUAACGUUUAACGGAUAGAUAAUUUCCCAUACCCCCCUUUAAGUUUUAAUAGCACAGAUUUGUGGAGCCUUAGCAAGAAAUUUAGAUAUUCUGAAGGAUAUAUACUUCUCUACAUUGGACAGCAUAAAACCCCCAAGUUUUUGCUAGGGAUUACUUUCCCUGCUGUGAUCUUAACAAUGGGUAAAUAUAGUUAUAUCUGUGUUCAUUAUGAAAAAGGGCAUUCAAGGAACACAUGAAUUGCAUCUUCUGUUGAGACAGAGUUGCAAUGACAAAUUCUGUCCUCCUUAGGAAUUCCUUUGUGCUGGCCCAUCCAAUCUGUUAGUGGAAGGACUUUAUAAAAGUUUAAAAAUGCAUUAUUUUGUAGGGCUUUAUAUAAAUAGCAUCCUCUCUACGCAUUGAAAUGAGUUACUGCAUAUUUCACUCAGCUUAUUUACUGGAUUUGAAUAUUUUCUGUUUCGUUGAGAGGAAGGGUGGUAAAACACCUGCUUUAGAAAAGGUCACAAGUUCAGUCUUCAUCUUUUCCAGGUAGGGCUGGCAGAAACUCCAGACUGCUGCUACCUGUCAUCGUAGAAAAUGCUGAGCUAAAUGGACUGAUGCUGUGUCUCAGGAUAAAACAAAAAUAGAGCCAUUUCUGCCUAUAUUACUUAGCUUGAUUGCUUUGUCUAAAUUACUCACUGAGUGUACAUGCAUUGUGUGAUGGCUGUUCUCUUCCUGGGAGUGGCUGAAGCAAGCUAGACCUCUUAAAGUAGUUUUGCACGGCACAUCAAGAUCUUUUGAGAUUUAAAAACAGUUUUAUGAAUUCGUGAUAUUAUUAUUACUGCCCUGAUCAUAUAGCGUGUCUAUUAAGUAUUUGAGCCUCACUCCAGAGUGCUUGUUAAGAAAGGUAUAAAUUAGUCUAAGAAAUAAUGAUAGCUUUGCAAGUAGAAAGUAUCACCUCCAUUGCAGGAAAAUCCUUAUAAUCUAAAAGGACAGGGGACAGAUACUGCGUGGGGAUCAUGUCAAAACUGGGCUCAUGCAGAGUGUUGCUUUGAAUGUCCCUCUGAGCUAAUGUCACUGAAAAUUGAAAUGCUGAAAUUGAAAAGUGGCCUGUGCCUUGAAAAAUAAUAAUAUUUUCCACAAAAUGCUUUCUGAAACUCGUCUUCCUUGUCUAUUCAUUUUGAAAUAUCAUUGGCUUAGAAUGAAGGAGAACUCCCUGUUUUUCUUCUGCAAUGAUGCACCACUUGUAUUGAGUGCUGCCAAUUGCCACCUUGCCUCAAGGUAUCUGAGCACUCCAUGCGUAGUAUGGAUGCAGAACUGUUUUGCUUGUGAAGCUGUGUCGUACUCUGGCUUUGCUCAAACAUUUUUCUAGAGAGGGCGUUGCAGCUUCUGGACAAUCUGCUGCUGUAAAGUCAGCCACUCAAAGAAAGCCGCUCGUUUCUUUGUCUAGGGGAUAGAGAACUGCUGACAAAACUUGAAUGCUGGCCAGCCGCCAUUUUGAAUCAAGAUGGCAAACCAAAACAUGACUUUGCCCAGUUUGGCCUGACGGCUACAAACAAUCUGGGACUUUUUGCGGGCGCCAGGUCAUUGUAGGGGCCGUAAGUUCAGCAAUGAAGCAAAUGUUUUCUCUCAGAAAGUUCUUUCCUUUUGUUGGGCUUCUAGUCCUUUUGUUGAGAUUUCCAAACCUCCUUUAUCCUUGAGGAAUGUGAAUGCAUCAUGUAAUCCUUGUGUUGCUUUGGACUCCCAAGUAGGAAUUGGAAAAAGCCUUCCAGACCACCAAAAGACUUUUCACCUACAUGCCCGCACGUAACUGUGGUGAGUCACAGGGCAGCUGAAGAACUCCCUUACUGGGGCUCUGACUCACCUGUGAAAAACUGCAAUGCUGUGGGCGAGUAGCUAAUUCUCCACCUGCCUGAACUCUAAGUAAUGGAGAGUGGCAGUGUGGGCUCUCUUCACCCACCCAGCUUGCCAGAUUCCUCCUACCAAAGCUUGGGGCAUGGAUAGAGCUGGGGGGGGAAAUCCCUGAGUCAUUAUUUAAGCAUUGCUUGAUCCCUCCAUGUGCUGGAGUUGAUAUAGGCUCCAAAUAUAUAGUUUUAUUCUAGAACCCAGGAGAUUUUCCCCCACCACAAGAUCUGCAUAUGCAGGUGUGUGGAUGGAUGAAAUCUUAUACACCCUCUCUAUCCGGCGAUGAAAGUGGCUUACACGUUCCCCCCUGCAGUCCGUAGCAUGCCUGUUCUUGUCCACUUCACCAGUGUCUCUUUGCCCCAGCUGCCAGUUUAUCCCCAGGGGAACUCUUGUUGAGGAUAUGGCUAGUGGAAUGUUUUGUGUGCAGAAGUUUCCAGGUUCAAUCCCUAGCAUUUCCAGGUAAGUUAGGAAACACUUUUGUCUGAUACCCAGUCAGUCAGUUUAUACCUAGGUGGAAUCUACACACAAAUAAAAGAUGUUCUGAAAAUGCUCCCCCGCCCUUAAAGAAAAGUGUUUUAAAAAAUACAUUGAAUUUUCCAUAAGGCUCGCCAUCGCCAUCUAGUGUCACAUUGUAUAUUGCAUUUAAAACACGCUUUAAAUGUUUUAUUUGCAGCUGUAUAGCUGAAUCCCUGGUAUAUCCAGUUACUUGGCCAAAAGCACCCAAGACCCAACCAUUGAAUACCAUUUUAGCUCCAGCUAAAGCCAUCGGCUUCUCCAGUUGUUUAAUUUUUUUUAUGGCUUUGCAGAGGGUCAUCUGAUUCGGGGGCAGAGAUGGUGGAAUCUGUGACCCUACAGAAGUCAACAGCUCCCAUCAACCACAGCCAGGAUGACCAAAGGCAGUAUAAGAAAUUCAAGUAUAUAAGCUAGGCACCAAAUAGCUCCUUAAACCAAGGUUGCAGUCACCAAAAUGGAAUGCCUUGUUGUCACUUUUUGGUAAGACGGCGCUAAAGUCGUAUUUUUCAGUUGAUGGAGUGACUGAUUCUCAGUUAAACAUCUAGCUAGUUCAGAUGACAUCCUUGAACUAGGUUAAGAACUUUGAGAACUUAAAGAAGGAAAGUUUCUUGAACCAGGGGCAGCCCACAUAUAUAUUGGCCUAUUCUGACCUCUUUUUCUUAGUGGUGACUGUUCCUGCUUAGGCUGCACUGAAAAAGCAAUCUGGUUCCUGAAAUUUAUUCCGAUUGUGCAGAUAAAAUAUAACUGAUAGACUUCUACAGGGUGUGGUAUUAGUCUGUGAAAACAGUCCAGAUCCAAUGAUCCUCAGAUGGUGGAGAUGUUUGGCACCAUCCUGGUGGUCAGGCAUCUUUGCUUGGUCAAAAGUGUUCAAUACUUCAUCUAGGUUGGAGGCUAUCACAGUUUGUCGGGGGACCAGGUUCCAUAGUUUAACUGUGUGCUGCACGAAAAAGCAAUCUCUUUUAUCUUUCCUGAACUUUCCAUCAUUCAGCUUCCUUGGAUGUCCACAGGUUCUUGUAUUAUGAAGGAGGGAGAAAAUCUUUUCUCUGGCCACUUUUUCCAAGAAUAUUCAGCCUUCUAGUCUACAAAAGCGAACAGAGAUUGCAGCAGUGCGGGGGGCGGGACUCUACUUGCAAGUCAGAUUUGGCCCCCCAGGCUUCCCUGUUUGGCCAUGAGGCUGUUUUGGGCUGAUGGGCACGGCCAAAUGUCAGGUGUGGACAC